CCCCGAAAGCUAUUUAGGUAGCGCCUCGUGAAUUCAUCUCCGGGGGUAGAGCACUGUUUCGGCUAGGGGGCCAUCCCGGCUUACCAACCCGAUGCAAACUGCGAAUACCGGAGAAUGUUAUCACGGGAGACACACGGCGGGUGCUAACGUCCGUCGUGAAGAGGGAAACAACCCAGACCGCCAGCUAAGGUCCCAAAGUCAUGGUUAAGUGGGAAACGAUGUGGGAAGGCCCAGACAGCCAGGAUGUUGGCUUAGAAGCAGCCAUCAUUUAAAGAAAGCGUAAUAGCUCACUGGUCGAGUCGGCCUGCGCGGAAGAUGUAACGGGGCUAAACCAUGCACCGAAGCUGCGGCAGCGACGCUGAUGCGUUGUUGGGUAGGGGAGCGUUCUGUAAGCCUGCGAAGGUG
Molecule: ribosomal RNA, 405 nt
Filed under: Salmonella enterica
Lineage: Bacteria; Pseudomonadati; Pseudomonadota; Gammaproteobacteria; Enterobacterales; Enterobacteriaceae
Description: partial 23S ribosomal RNA
Rfam family: Bacterial large subunit ribosomal RNA
Source: RNAcentral